AGCGAACGCUGGCGGCAGGCCUAACACAUGCAAGUCGAACGAACUCUUCGGAGUUAGUGGCGGACGGGUGAGUAACACGUGGGAACGUGCCUUUUGGUUCGGAAUAACUCAGGGAAACUUGUGCUAAUACCGAAUGUGCCCUUCGGGGGAAAGAUUUAUCGCCAUUAGAGCGGCCCGCGUCUGAUUAGCUAGUUGGUGAGGUAACGGCUCACCAAGGCGACGAUCAGUAGCUGGUCUGAGAGGAUGAUCAGCCACACUGGGACUGAGACACGGCCCAGACUCCUACGGGAGGCAGCAGUGGGGAAUCUUGCGCAAUGGGCGAAAGCCUGACGCAGCCAUGCCGCGUGAAUGAUGAAGGUCUUAGGAUUGUAAAAUUCUUUCAACGGGGACGAUAAUGACGGUACCCGGAGAAGAAGCCCCGGCUAACUUCGUG
Molecule: ribosomal RNA, 433 nt
Filed under: uncultured bacterium
Lineage: Bacteria
Description: partial 16S ribosomal RNA
Rfam family: Bacterial small subunit ribosomal RNA
Source: RNAcentral